RNAcentral lists this ribosomal RNA (783 nucleotides) under Alexandrium margalefii. RNAcentral's name for it is "partial Bacterial small subunit ribosomal RNA". It matches the Rfam family "Bacterial small subunit ribosomal RNA", at positions 431 to 1244 of the family's 1533-position model. Lineage: Eukaryota; Dinophyceae; Gonyaulacales; Pyrocystaceae. The record is from RNAcentral.
UGUUUUAAUAAGUGUUGUAAAGCUUUCAUUCAAUUGGAUGAAUACCGGUUAAUCUUGUGCCAGCUGCAGCGGUAAAGCAAGUGGUGUAAACGUUCUAUAGGUUUAUUAGGUGUAAAGAGUGAUUUGGAAUGUGAAUAGGAAUCUGUUUUUCAAAUCUCCAUCUCAUUCGAUGCAUGUUGUGUUAUUAUUCUUUGGCCCAAGUAUUAUAUCUUAAGCAUUAUGCUUCGAUGCAUCUUGAAAGGUAUUCUAGAUUUGAUGUGGUGUAGGAAUGUUAAUAGUAAUAGUGAAAUGUAUAUAGAAUUGGUAUAAAAUAAAUUGGAUAUUGGUAGCUUGAAAAGGUAGAUAUUCGAUUCACGAAAGCUUGAGGUGUGACAGGGAUUUGAGACCCCUUUAAUUCGAGACUGAAAUUAUGCAGGCAAUGUUUGUGGAUCUCUUUUUAACAAAUAAAGGUUCUUUUCCUAAGGAGUACGCUUUCACUUGUGAAACUUAAAUGUUCUGGUGGUGGUUUAGAACAAUAGUGGAAUAGAUGAUUUAAUUCGAUGAAAUGCGAUAAAGCUUAUCUGUUAUCUGAAAUAAUACCUAGGUAUAGGUAGAAUUCUAUUCGAGGUAGUGCAUGGCUGUUGGAUGUUUUGUAAUAUCUGGUUUCGGACAGGAAUAGCCGAUACACUUUUAGUUGUUAUAGGUCUUUUGCAUCUUUUCAUAUGGUCUUUUAGAUAGAAUAACGUCGAGUCAUUAUGCUCUUUAGUUCGGAGAUAUUCAUGUGUUACUAGGAGAGGUAUAUAG